Molecule: ribosomal RNA, 627 nt
Filed under: Triticum aestivum (bread wheat)
Lineage: Eukaryota; Viridiplantae; Streptophyta; Magnoliopsida; Poales; Poaceae
Description: partial small subunit ribosomal RNA
Source: RNAcentral
AUGUGUGGUUGGUUGAUCUUUACAGAACUGCAAAGCUCUUCUAGCCAGUGUAAUACACAAGAGAUCAGCAUCAACCUUGGAGUUGGUCCAGGAAGUUUGUCCUGCUCUAUUCAAGUGGAUGUGGCUCGUCCUGUUUUCAAGGGAAUGGAAGCUCGAUCUGGCAUCUUCACCGUGUUGACUGUGACUUCCAUCCUACAGGACGAGUUCGGAUAUCGUUUUUCCAGCUGUGCUGCUUUGGAGCAGUUGAAACUCAGGAGAUGCCCCAAGAUAACUUGCUUGAAGAUACCUUCUCAGCAGCAGCGGCUCAGCUACCUGCAAGUGGUAAAUACAACAAUGGCAUUGGCGCCUAGCAAGUUCGUCCACCUGAAGUACAUGAGUAUUGAGUAUUUAGUCUUCUGGCGCCAGAGAUGCAGAGUCGUCACGGUGCAGACGGGUACACCCAGAAGUUUUGAGAGCUUAACUGUCGGCAUUUUUUGGACAACCUCGCGAGAGGACAGGGUUAAAGUUGCUUCCAGGCCCGUGUACUGGGGCUGUGAAGAGAGUGAUUCGUGGGUUUGCAGGACCCUGCUGACACGAUCAGGAGUUGCAGUAGAAAGGAAUGAGGUCGUCGCUAUUGCCCCCUCAUAA